Molecule: ribosomal RNA, 500 nt
Filed under: uncultured bacterium
Lineage: Bacteria
Description: partial 16S ribosomal RNA
Rfam family: Bacterial small subunit ribosomal RNA
Source: RNAcentral
AUUGAACGCUGGCGGCAUGCUUUACACAUGCAAGUCGAACGGUAACAGGGAGCUUGCUCCGCUGACGAGUGGCGAACGGGUGAGUAAUGCGUCGGAACGUGCCGAGUAGUGGGGGAUAACGCAGCGAAAGUUGUGCUGAUACCGCAUACGUACUGAGGUAGAAAGUGGGGGACCUUCGGGCCUCACGCUAUUCGAGCGGCCGACGUCUGAUUAGCUAGUAGGUGAGGUAAAGGCUCACCUAGGCGACGAUCAGUAGCGGGUCUGAGAGGAUGAUCCGCCACACUGGGACUGAGACACGGCCCAGACUCCUACGGGAGGAAGCAGGGGGGAAUUUUGGACAAUGGGCGAAAGCCUGAUCCAGCCAUGCCGCGUGUCUGAAGAAGGCCUUCGGGUUGUAAAGGACUUUUGUCGGGGAGGAAAACCCCAGCGUUAAUACCGCUGGGGGAUGACAGUACCUGAAGAAUAAGCACCGGCUAACUACGUGCCAGCCGCCGCCGUAA